CGCACUUUUAUUUUAAAUGUUCUGCCAUAUGAACGAAAGUGCCGUAACAUUUGUUGUGCAAACACUUUUAACAUCAGCAUUUUAAUACAGUAGCAGUUAAAUAAAAUAUUCAGUUUAAAUCUCAACUUAAACAAUGUUAUCAAAGCAAAUACAAAAUUAAAGCUCAUUGCCACUGCCAGGGCAUUAAUGUUAUCCUGUUUGUUAUGAAAAAGAAAAAAACUGGCAAAAAAAUCCUGAGCCACAAUCAUAUCAUUAAAACAGGCAAUUUUUGAGGUAACAGCAGAAACAUUUCACUUUCAUCAGGGAGCAGCAUAACCAGGCUAUGUUCAGUACCAAAUGUCCCUGAGUGAGAAACCAGAAAACACUUUCAGUGCAGUUUGUCAAUUCCUAGAACUUGACACUGUUAUUUUAAAUGUACUGCCAUAUGAACUAAAGUGCCAUAACAUUUGUUGUGCAAACACUUAACGUCAGCAUUUUUAUAUAGUAGCAGUUAAAUAAAAUAAAUACUUUGUGUAAUUCUCAACUUAAACAAUGUUAUCACAACAAACACAAAACUAAAGCUUAUUGCCACUGCCAAGGCAUUAAUGUUAGAGUGUGGUGAAGCACCAAAAAGUUCACUGCUGGCAGUUACUCUGCUGUACGUAGUCUGCCGAAGCCUCCCUCCACUGUCUGUUUCGUUGAAUGAUUUGCAAUUAUCACAUGUAUGUAUUUAUGUCUUUGGCGAUUUUAGCCUAACUAUCGAGAUUCUAAGUAACAUGGAGACCAAACUUUGUUUGGUACUCCACGUAGAUCAUAAACCCUUGAAUAUACAAACGACUCAAUUAAAUCGGUUGAGAAAUGUAAACGCUAUAGUGCUUUUUAUCCAGCUCCACCGCAGCUCCACCGUUCACUUGCAUUUGUUUACAGUCCAGCCUUUACCUUCCCAAGAUGGCGGCGAGUUGGCACGUCGCAGCAAUCAUAAUCAUAUAUAUACAUAUGUCUAUGGCAGCAAUGCCCUUCUCCAUGUUUGUUUAUCCGCCCAUUCUUUUCUUUUCCGGUUCCGCAGCAGUCAGCAGCAGACUUUUACAAAAUAAAAGCCUGUGAACAACAGACUUUUACAAUA
Clupea harengus (Atlantic herring) is the source of this 1102-nucleotide long non-coding RNA. Lineage: Eukaryota; Metazoa; Chordata; Actinopteri; Clupeiformes; Clupeidae. The record is from Ensembl.